UUGCCCAUGAUUAAAUGCUAAAAUCGGAGUAAGAAGAAGAAAAUGCAAAGGAAGCUGUAGUUCUGGACUAUGGAGCAGCAGUAGAGGGUGCUGGGGUUGGUAUAUAAGUGCUGCAAUGCCCUAAUUCUAUGGUCUCUUUUUGAACGGUGUGCUAUUGCGUAGUAAUCUCAGCCGUAGAUUUGCAGCUUCGAGAUGCGCUUAUGAGGAGGGUAUUUUGUU
Molecule: long non-coding RNA, 219 nt
Filed under: Nicotiana benthamiana
Lineage: Eukaryota; Viridiplantae; Streptophyta; Magnoliopsida; Solanales; Solanaceae
Description: long non-coding RNA (NBEN_LNC002296)
Source: RNAcentral